Molecule: transfer RNA, 26 nt
Filed under: Sceloporus jarrovii (Yarrow's spiny lizard)
Lineage: Eukaryota; Metazoa; Chordata; Lepidosauria; Squamata; Phrynosomatidae
Description: partial tRNA-Thr
Source: RNAcentral
GUCUCCGUAGCUUAAGAACUGCUCUG